This is a long non-coding RNA of Lolium rigidum, 856 nucleotides long. RefSeq lists it as uncharacterized. Lineage: Eukaryota; Viridiplantae; Streptophyta; Magnoliopsida; Poales; Poaceae. The record is from RefSeq and is a predicted model, not a curated record. The transcript is spliced from 6 exons.
GGAUGAGAUGGCGGCCAUGGGAGUGCGGUUCGCCGGCCACUAGCUCCGGGCCCUCCUCCACAUCGCCGCCGGCGACCUCGUCCACGACGAGCUCGCGUCCAGCUUGCCGUGCAGGUCAAUGGAGCAACUUGUGGCAGAUCUCGCUACUACUGUUGUCAGCAUGCUACUAGUAGAACCUCUACUUUUAGAAGGACUUAGGGAUCGUCCUGUUGGUUGGUUCAUGUGUGGCGCCCUUGCUACCCGUGUUCACCACCGACGAGUCUGAAGCGGGACAGGACGCCGCUGUCCUGCUUCUUGGCCGUGGACGACCUCGAGCACAAGGUCUCCAGGAUGGGCACCCUUGCCGGCAUCACUAUCAAGUUCAGGGUCGAGGACUGAGAAGCGGAGCCGGAGGUGGCCAAAGGAGGUAGCGGUGGUGGCCUUCUUCCUCUAGUCUUGGUGGUUUAGGUGCAUAAGUUUGUGCGGUCCGCCGGCUGUUGGGCUGGCUUUGGCGGCGAGUUCGCAGCGCCACAACCGCCGUGGUGCUAUCUUGGCUUUGUCUACAAUUCUCUCAGGACGGAGAAGCAGGGCUGGAGCUAGCCACAGGAGGUAGCGGUGGUGGCCUUCUUCCUCUAUGUCUCGGUGGUUCAGAUUCUGCUUGUUCUGGUGCAAGGGAGGGCUCCAGCAGAAAUUCGAGAUGCGCCGUCUCCGGGGCUUGUGCUGCUGGUGCAGUGUUUCAAGUCUUGUAAAAUCCGGUGAAGAUUUUGUAACCAGAGCAGAAGGUUGUAAUGGAGUGUAAUCGUUUCGUUUGCAUGUGUGCAAUAUAUUAAUUUGCAUUGCGGUCGUCUUUAAUUGAUGGAGUUGAAUCUAGAAUGCA